RNAcentral lists this long non-coding RNA (290 nucleotides) under Solanum tuberosum (potato). RNAcentral's name for it is "long non-coding RNA (STUB_LNC011085)". Lineage: Eukaryota; Viridiplantae; Streptophyta; Magnoliopsida; Solanales; Solanaceae. The record is from RNAcentral.
UGAGAUCUUGAACUUCAUCAAUAUACACAAAAUCUACUUUGUCACCAUCGAGAUGCUGAUACUUUAGCCGACUAUGAAGAUCAUUAACCAAAUCAGCUAUAUCAUAUUCAGCACGCUCCAUCUUCAUCUUUUCAUAAUCCUGAAAAAUACCAUAUAUUCUAUCUCUUUUUUCUGCACUUAUCGAAGAGACUCGAUGUUCGGACAUUGAUAUAUAAGCCUCUUUGCUGAGUUUAUAUCGAAGAGACUCGAUGUUCGGACAUUGAAAUAUAAGCCUCUUUGCUGAGUUUCCC